Chelonia mydas (Green sea turtle) is the source of this 6818-nucleotide long non-coding RNA. RefSeq lists it as uncharacterized. Lineage: Eukaryota; Metazoa; Chordata; Testudines; Cheloniidae. The record is from RefSeq and is a predicted model, not a curated record. The transcript has 3 exons.
UAUUUACAAAUGUAGCUUUGGAAUAUGUUACGCUGUGUGAACUGGGGAAAGGGAAGGGGAAAGGACGUUUAAUUUUAGAACCAUGUCAUAUACUGAAGCUAGAGCAGCUUCACAAGAAAGCAUGUGAAAUAACUUAUCGGGGAAGCUUUAUUUUUAGAGUUGCUGAAAGCUAGCUUGAUAUCUUACUAUGUUUAAUAUGUCUGCCUAAAGUAACUUUUUUUUUCUUUAACUACAAUGUGCCUGAUAUAUGGGGUGAAGAAAUUUGGGCCCCUGUGCUGCAAACACUUAAGCAUGGGUUUAAUUUUAAGCACAGAGAUAGUCCCGUUGAAGUCUGCACCUGGGCAUAAAGUUAGGAACAUGCAUAAGGGUUUGCAGGAUUGGGGCCUCACAUCCAAUUGCCUCCUUUGUAAAGGGUAAUAAACAUGUGUACUGUAUGCUUACCAUGAGAAAAUCAUUAAAAUCUAACCUCCCUGACAAUCUGACUUAUAAACUGAAAGUAUCCUGGCAUGGAAUUGGGAUUUGAGCAACAUUUCUAAAAACUUCCAUAGUACUCAGCUAGCUUCUAGUUAUGAAUUACCUACCAAAUCUCAAAAAGGAUCUUUUUAAUCUUCAUAAUGGAAAUCCUCUUUGAAGUCUUCUUUGUAGAAGGUUAAUAUCUACGAUUAGGAUGACACAGUUUGCCUCUGCAACUGAUGAUUGAUUUUUUGGUUUUGGAGCUGCAUGAAUAGUUCAGCGUAAUUAGUCAAUUGUCCUUUCAUUGGAGUGUAGUGAUCCCAAUUUUUCCUAUUGGCAUGUGUGUCCAUUACAGGAAACACACAAAGCACCCACAAUAGCUUCUGCUGAUUGAGGGGUGCUUCCCUGUCAGCUUUAGUGGCUCUAAGCACGCUUCUGACCUGGGGUCUUUGCUGGCAUGUAAAUAUGUUUGAAAUGCUGUUGCCACAGAACAGGGAGAGCUGAAUUCCUAAAGGUAAAGCACCAAAACACAAUGGAACAGUAGCAGAGGUGAUUCUGCUGUAGCAGAGAAAAGAAGCAGGGGGGAACAAAUUGAUAGCGUAGCAGUACCUGGGUCUACCAAAAAUCAUGCUGCAAAGCUUGGGUGUCCCAGAUGCGUCCUGAUCCAGCACUUACUCAUAGAAGUAGCUCUACUGAGUUCAGUAGGGUACUUGCAGAGGACUACUCACUAAAGUCAGGGUUGCAGGUUUGCCUCCAUCAUUUUAAUUUUAGUACCAAGUAUUAUGUGAACUGCAGAAUUAGGAACUGAUAUUUUAGACCACUCCACUUGUCUUACCUCCCCCCCCCCUCCUUUUUCCUUUUUUUCUGUUUUUCUUCUUCUUUUGUUUUCCCUCCUCCUUUGUGUUGGUUGACUUUUGAUUUCUGUUGUCUGGUUAGACAAAUGAAGACAGGUGACAAUGGGUUAACUCUAGCUUUUACAAUUUCAAAUAUUACCAUACUAACACAGUUAUGAAAUGUCAAUGAAUUUGACCAGUCCAAGUGUAGCUUUUUAACCUAUUUUAAAUUUUCUAAUUUACAAAUUGAAAUGCCAGUAUCACCCAGUUGCAGAAUUGUAGAGAUGUCAUGUACAAAUUUGUACAGCACUAACUAGAUCGGAUAAGACAGUGUAACAUUAUUGUCUCAGCAAUGCUGAAGUGUCAAUUGGAUCUGUGGUGCCACCAUCAAAUGUCACCUCUUUAACAAAUUAAAAAGAAGUUCCCAAAUAAGCAGACAUUGUGGCUAUUGGGUCUGAUUCUGCUCUAACUUUACACCAGGAUGAUUACAUUGACUCAAAUAAUAUCAUUCCUGAUUUAUACCACUCUGAGUGGAGAAUCGGGCCCACUGAUUUCUAAUGGCCAUCUCUGAUGGGAUAAUAGUUCUUGCCCUAGUUAUCAUUCUUGAAUUCUAGAGACAUCUUCCUCUUCCUACCAAACCGUCCCGUUGCUUCACAAUCAGCAGUGCAAUGUUGUCCCCUGUGAGUAGGUAAUUUCUCUAUUAUUCAUAAUAAACAUAUAAUAAAAUCAGAGAAUCUCUCUGUGCAGUUGAUGUUGAACCCUUAUCGGAAGCUUUUAUAUAUUUCCCAAACUUCAUUCACGCAAAAUAGAGCUUCCCUGUCAAAUGAACUGCAGUAGCACGGAGCUUCAGCUUAUACUGUGCGAGCAAUGAAUUUGUUAGCUACCAGACUCUCCAUCUCUUCUUUUCUUUUUGUCUGUCUCUCUCCUUUCUUUUUUUCUUUCAGGCUCAGGCCCACAGCUGCAGAGGAAGAGCAAUGCCACCCUGUGGCAUGGAAUCACUUUCCCCAAGGGGCUUGAUGUUCAGUGAAAUACACUAGGAGUGCACAGUUCUGUAAAAUCCAUAGUUUUGUGAAUCUCUUCACCAAAGUCCUCUUCCUUGUUUAUGUAAGUGGCUAACUCACGAUUGCAUCCCCAAAGGGUGCAUGAGCCACGAGAGGGGCAGAGAGCCUGCUCCAACAGGAAAACGUUGGAGAGAAAAUGAGAGAGAAUUUAAGGGUCUGACUGAGUCCCUGGGAGUUUUUAAGACAUUUAGCACCAUGCAGGAAAUUUAGUGCUCAGUGACCGCAGUAAAUCUCAUUUGCUUGCAUACAACACAGAAUCCUUCCAUAAUCUUAAUUGCUAUAGCGAAAGGAUCUGAUUCUGCUGAGUUACGCCAGUGCAACUCUUCCUCAAAAUCAAUGUGAGUUAUAACAGAGCAAAAUUUGGUCCAAACUGCAGAAAUGACAGUGUUGGAAGCGGUGCAGUCUAACAUGUUUAGAAGUGCAGCCACCCAUGAAUCUCUCUCUUGUCUUUUAAAAAAAAACACUCUUAGUAGUAGGCCAAUGCAAUCUUGGGCCGUCCACAUCUAUCAUAGCUUUUAUGACCUUUCACAGAAAAAACACUGUGACAUUCUCUACCUUGGGGGAGUGUCCUGGAACCCCCAUAUUCCUCAUUUAUAUAAAGCAGGCCUUGUAAGGUAUCAGGGGAAAGGCUAUGACCCCCUGAAAGUCAUUUCUCUGUCCAUAUGUGUAUCAUUAAUGCAUGUGAAGUUCUGAGAAUUGUGUUGUAUGGUGGUCACUAAAACAUGCUGUAAGUUGGGGAAUCAACCAGGUAUUAGCUCCCCAGAGGCAACAGCAAGGAAAGUGACCAAUGCCCAGGUGGCGCCAUCAACAACCGUUGUCCAGCAAGGGAGCUAGGAUGCAAUGAUUCACCUGCAUGAGGCCACACCAGGGGAAUUGCUCAGCCUUGCCUAGAGACUCAGCAAGGCCCACCCAGACAUGCCAGGACUUGUGUUUUCCAAGCACAUGGACUGAGGGUAUAAAACCGACAGAGUGGCCAUAUGCUUGGCUUUUCUCCUUCCCCUACCUACGCUGCAAGCAACUAACACACUGAGAAGAAGACAAGACUCCAACAGAGGAGAUUGGCACAGAUUUCAAGGGGGAAAUCUGUAUAACAAGGACUGCAAUAUCCAGUGGGCUGCUGGAACCGUUCCCGUCCUGAUGGAGAUGAUUGUUGGAUUUGGCUUUGAAUAUCUUCAUUUCUGAUCUUGCCUUGGCACUUCAUAUGGAGCAGCUGACUGAGACAAUGAAAAUUAGAACCAUCAGUCCAGUGAUCUUCAGCCCUCCAAUGCGCCCACGUUUCAUUUCCGUGCAACAAGGUUGGUGUAACUGUCAUUCUAUAGACCUGCAGGUUCGUAGAAAGCUUGAUGUCAUGAGGUCCCCACAGAGGCCGCUGAAGGGCCUGAACCAUGGAUGCUGCUAUACAAGCAUCCACAUUUUUCAAGCAUCGUUCAGCAUUGUCUUGGACGCUACUCAAGUAUUUGACAGCUGGCAGCUGCUCCAUGUCCCAUUCGGACAGGUUAAUAUUGAGGUGGUUGUAAACAGCAAAGUAGCUUGCAUAGGUCUGGUUAUUAAUCCCAACAAAACGAAGUCUGUAGCCAUUACCAUCAAACAACCUGCAGCUCCAGAUUACAGUCAGCUCAGUAUUAACCUGUCCGGAUGGGACAUCAAGCAGUUGGCAACUAUUUUCACUUGCUUUACAAUAACUAAAAAUGGAGAAAGAUUCUUGGGUCCUGGUAGGAUUCCUCAGGGUACUUGGAGCCUUUAACAACAAGCAGGCCUAUACAUAAAUGUAAGAAGUAUGGGGGAAUAAACAGGAGGGACUGCAAAUAUUAGUACACAAGCUAAAUUAUGACUUAAUUGGCAUCACAGAGACUUGGUGGGAUAAAUCUCAUGACUGGAAUAUUGUGUAGGAAGGACCAGCAUGGAAAAAGGCAGGAGAUGUUGCAUUAUAUAUCAAGAAUAUAUAUACACUUGUUUUGAGGUCUAGAAGGAGGUGAGAAGCAUACCAGUUGAAAAUCCCUGGGGAAAGAUAAAAUGGAAAAAAAUAGGGGCGAUAUCAUGGUAGGGGGCUACUAUAAAUCAUGAGAUCAGGAAGAAGAAGUGGAUGAGACACUUCUAGAACAAAUAAUAGAAAUAUCCAAAAAACAAGACCUGGUAGUAAUGGGGCACUUUAACUAUCCAGACAACUGUUAGAAAAAUAUUGCAGCAAAGUACAAAAUGUCCAAUAAGAUCUUGGAAUGUAUUUUGGACAACUUUUUAUUUCAGAAAGGGGAGGAAAUAACCAGGGCAAGAGCCAUUUUAGACUGGAUUCUGACCAACAGGGAGGAAUUGGUAGCAAAUCCGAAGGUGGAAGGCAAUUUGGGUGAAAGUGACCAUGAAAGGAUAGAUUUCAUGAUUCUAAGGAAAGGAAAGCGAGAGCAGCAGAAUAAGGUUUACUUGGUCCUGCCUCAGCACAGGGGAUUAGACUAGAUGACCUCUCAAGAUCCCUUCCAGACCUACAUUUCUAUGAUUCUAUGUAUCCAUCCAUCUUAACCACUUCAUACUGUUCCUCAUGAAGAUCAAUAGGAAUAUGAAUCAGUGUAUCAGCAUGAAGAUGGAACUUCUUGAUGAAGGCAGGAACUUUAUCAUGGUCAUCAGAAAAAAGUUAAUGGGUUUCUAUAAACCUACCAUACCAGCUCUUACCAGCUUCUCAGGAAUUUCUUUCAAUACUGGAUAGUUGGUUGGUGAGUCAGUAAUAAAGCAUUUUUUCCUUUUAUGUACUUUACAUUUGACAAGUCAGUAUUCGUAAAAGUGUAUAAAAAUGGCUUAAAACAAACAUAUUUUUAACUUUUAGGGGAAGCAGGAUACCUCCAUUGCUCUCUCACUGAGAACUUUCUACUUCUUCCCAUAUCCUUUUCACCCACUGAAUCAACAUCUGUGCAGCAGUCACAUCUCAAUAUCUCUUGCAUACUUGGAAAUCUCCCUUCAGAUUCCCACAUGGAUCUAGAAUAAAGACUGGACAUAUGAAAGAAAACAGAAGUAUUUCUGGGAUUUGUUGCAUCUCACUUAAACUUUUUUGCAGAACAUAAAAUCCCAUGGAUUAUUGCGCACCUGGGCUGAAGAAUUGGUGUUAUGUUUCAGAAAUGGAAGUAAAUGUAGAUUUGUACAUUGCUAAGAAGUAGCAGCAAAAUGCGGGGCAAAUAGUAGCAGUAUUUGAAUGGAUGGCAUGAUGACAUGCAGGACGGUAUGGAAGCUACACUUGCACCUGAAGCUCAGCACCCUAUAAGGAGGGUAAAAAGAAAGCCAAUAGGAUCUUCUUCACCAUCAUCAUUUUUCAUACCCAAAGUCUGCAGAGCUACAACAGGCUUUCACAGAAGUCCAAUUGUGUCAGAGCUUUGUUGGGGGCCAGCUUGCCAGCUACACAUCUGAUCUGAAGAGCACUAGGAGGGGGCGUUAAACGAGCUGAGAAGUUGGCACUUAGAUGACCUGAGCAGAGAGUGCCGCAUGGAGAAGGUGCAAGGAGCAGUGAGGAACUUGACCUUGCAGCAAUGGAACAGCUGCUGUGCGGCUACUAAGUUAGUUCUCCUUGAUCGCAAGAAUAAGACGUAAGAAAGAAGUGCAGAGUUAAGAAGACCCAAAUUAGCAUCAAGACACCCCCAUUCAAUGCACUGUAUGUAACCACACUGGCAGCAGGCAUGAAGGAGAUCUGAUGCUUACUUUCGCCAUACUACACCCCAUGCUUAACUUUCCUUGCCCUCACAUGUAGCCUCCACUUGUGCUAUACCGCUCAAGGAUUUACAGGAUCAAGGCCAGUCUCUUCUCUUUUUAGGAUGCUAAAAGAAAUGAAAGGUAGAAAAACACAGUUGAGUCUGCCAUGAGAAACCACUUUCACACAACUAAAUAUCCCAGAGUACCACGAGAGUUGCAAAUAAUAGUUUUAACUGAGGCUUCCAUUUUUCUCUUCCAGGAAUUUUGGGGUUGGAAAUUAUCUGGUUUCAUCCCCAUCUGUACCGUCCACUCCUCAUCUUUGGUUGGUUUUUUUGGUUUUAGUUUUAAAAUAAAUAAAAUGCAAAUAUAAAACCAACGGACACUGUGUUCAUUCCUUGAUUAGUGAGUAUCAGAUCAGGGCUAUGGGCUGUGCACUGCAGUAAUUGUCAUGCAAAUGCACAUGAAGUUUACAAAUGAAUGGCUGUGAAAAAGAAACUGGGCCAUAUGCUACUUGCGCUGAACUUGGUGGCAAAAUUCCUACUGAGGUCAGGAGAACAGGAUCGGGCCCAUUAGGGCAGGGCCACUCACAACCUAUCUGAACUCUUUUCGCUUCCUUCCAGCGUACAUUUGAGGUUGCAUCGGUAGUAGAGCUCUUUCGUAUGGAAAAUUCUUAACGGUGAGGGAGCAGAUCUUUCAUAAUUCAAAUCAAGUGAAAACACAGUCUACUGAAGAUGUGUGCCCAUAACCUCCCACUGGCCUUGCCUGUGAGGUUGAAUACCUUUGUAAACAUUGGGCCUUUUCUGCU